RNAcentral lists this ribosomal RNA (253 nucleotides) under uncultured bacterium. RNAcentral's name for it is "partial 16S ribosomal RNA". It matches the Rfam family "Bacterial small subunit ribosomal RNA", at positions 524 to 776 of the family's 1533-position model. The record is from RNAcentral.
UACAGAGGUCUCAAGCGUUGUUCGGAUUCAUUGGGCGUAAAGGGUGCGUAAGCGGCGCGGUAAGUCGGAUGUGAAAUCUCGGAGCUUAACUCCGAAACUGCAUUCGAUACUGCCGUGCUUGAGGACUGGAGAGGAGACUGGAAUUUACGGUGUAGCGGUGAAAUGCGUAGAUAUCGUAAGGAAGACCAGUGGCGAAGGCGGGUCUCUGGACAGUUCCUGACGCUGAGGCACGAAGGCCAGGGGAGCAAACGGG